UAUAUAUUAAUGUAAAUAUGCAUAUAAAAAUUUGAAUUUUAUUGGAAUAGUUUAAUUCUAUUAUAUAUAA
This 70-nucleotide transfer RNA is filed under the name Cerceris sp. SJW-2017. RNAcentral describes it as "tRNA-Gln". The record is from RNAcentral. Lineage: Eukaryota; Metazoa; Arthropoda; Insecta; Hymenoptera; Crabronidae.